ACUAGUCCUUCUUCGCAGCUGGGGUUUCUUCUUUAGGUAACCUAUACAGAAAAGCACGGUGAACACAAUGAUCAAAAAAUUGCAUGAAACAUGAAACGGAAAGGGGCUCAUCGAAGGAAUUUUUGGGUUUUGGCUGCAGCAGCUCUACCAGGCUUUACCCACAGCUUCUAGUUAACCCAUCGUCCCUCUUGCAACGAUUUGGCCACAGGGAUGCUCGGAAUCGAAUUUCGAAUAGGUAAGGAAAAUUUUUUACCUUUUUUGGCGGUUGGCAGUGGCUCUAGUGUGCCUGCGGUCGACGGUCGGCGGUCAGCAAUCAGUCUCCUUCGCCGGUGUCUAGUUCUUUUUCUCCGACAGGGGUU
RNAcentral lists this long non-coding RNA (359 nucleotides) under Carica papaya (papaya). RNAcentral's name for it is "long non-coding RNA (CPAP_LNC002883)". The record is from RNAcentral. Lineage: Eukaryota; Viridiplantae; Streptophyta; Magnoliopsida; Brassicales; Caricaceae.